UAAGGUAUAGCUCAGUGGUAGAGUGAGUGCUUAGGGUGUACGAGGUCCAGGGUUCAAUCCCCAGUACCUCCA
Molecule: transfer RNA, 72 nt
Filed under: Camelus bactrianus (Bactrian camel)
Lineage: Eukaryota; Metazoa; Chordata; Mammalia; Artiodactyla; Camelidae
Also listed under: 2 other names
Rfam family: tRNA
About the family: Transfer RNA (tRNA) molecules are approximately 80 nucleotides in length. Their secondary structure includes four short double-helical elements and three loops (D, anti-codon, and T loops). Further hydrogen bonds mediate the characteristic L-shaped molecular structure. tRNAs have two regions of fundamental functional importance: the anti-codon, which is responsible for specific mRNA codon recognition, and the 3' end, to which the tRNAs corresponding amino acid is attached (by aminoacyl-tRNA synthetases). tRNAs cope with the degeneracy of the genetic code in two manners: having more than one tRNA (with a specific anti-codon) for a particular amino acid; and 'wobble' base-pairing, i.e. permitting non-standard base-pairing at the 3rd anti-codon position.
Source: Rfam by way of RNAcentral